Molecule: non-coding RNA, 81 nt
Organism: Trichonephila inaurata madagascariensis
Lineage: Eukaryota; Metazoa; Arthropoda; Arachnida; Araneae; Nephilidae
Source: the annotation of a GenBank genome assembly
GCGUGUGGGCCUAAUGGUUAAGGCGAUGGACUUGAAAUACAUUGGGGUCUCCCCGCGUAGGUUCGUUUUCUACCGGAUGCG